CACUGCCGAGAAAAGCCUCUAGAUAGAAAAUAGGUGCCCGUACCGCAAACCGACACAGGUAGUCAAGAUGAGAAUUCUAAGGUGAGCGAGCGAACUCUCGUUAAGGAACUCGGCAAAAUGACCCCGUAACUUCGGGAGAAGGGGUGCUCUUUAGGGUUAACGCCCAGAAGAGCCGCAGUGAAUAGGCCCAAGCGACUGUUUAUCAAAAACACAGGUCUCUGCUAAACCGUAAGGUGAUGUAUAGGGGCUGACGCCUGCCCGGUGCUGGAAGGUUAAGAGGAGUGGUUAGCUUCUGCGAAGCUACGAAUCGAAGCCCCAGUAAACGGCGGCCGUAACUAUAACGGUCCUAAGGUAGCGAAAUUCCUUGUCGGGUAAGUUCCGACCCGCACGAAAGGCGUAACGAUUUGGGCACUGUCUCAACGAGAGACUCGGUGAAAUCAUAGUACCUGUGAAGAUGCAGGUUACCCGCGACAGGACGGAAAGACCCCGUGGAGCUUUACUGUAGCCUGAUAUUGAAAUUCGGCACAGCUUGUACAGGAUAGGUAGGAGCCUUUGAAACGUGAGCGCUAGCUUACGUGGAGGCGCUGGUGGGAUACUACCCUAGCUGUGUUGGCUUUCUAACCCGCACCACUUAUCGUGGUGGGAGACAGUGUCAGGCGGGCAGUUUGACUGGGGCGGUCGCCUCCUAAAAGGUAACGGAGGCGCUCAAAGGUUCCCUCAGAAUGGUUGGAAAUCAUUCAUAGAGUGUAAAGGCAUAAGGGAGCUUGACUGCGAGACCUACAAGUCGAGCAGGGUCGAAAGACGGACUUAGUGAUCCGGUGGUUCCGCAUGGAAGGGCCAUCGCUCAACGGAUAAAAGCUACCCCGGGGAUAACAGGCUUAUCUCCCCCAAGAGUUCACAUCGACGGGGAGGUUUGGCACCUCGAUGUCGGCUCAUCGCAUCCUGGGGCUGUAGUCGGUCCCAAGGGUUGGGCUGUUCGCCCAUUAAAGCGGUACGCGAGCUGGGUUCAGAACGUCGUGAGACAGUUCGGUCCCUAUCCGUCGUGGGCGUAGGAAAUUUGAGAGGAGCUGUCCUUAGUACGAGAGGACCGGGAUGGACAUACCUCUGGUGUACCAGUUGUCGUGCCAACGGCAUAGCUGGGUAGCUAUGUGUGGACGGGAUAAGUGCUGAAAGCAUCUAAGCAUGAAGCCCCCCUCAAGAUGAGAUUUCCCAAUUUCGGUUAUAAGAUCCCUCAAAGAUGAUGAGGUUAAUAGGUUCGAGGUGGAAGCAUGGUGACAUGUGGAGCUGACGAAUACUAAUCGAUCGAAGACUUAAUCAA
This 1318-nucleotide ribosomal RNA is filed under the name Staphylococcus aureus. RNAcentral's name for it is "partial 23S ribosomal RNA". It matches the Rfam family "Bacterial large subunit ribosomal RNA", at positions 1603 to 2925 of the family's 2925-position model. Lineage: Bacteria; Bacillati; Bacillota; Bacilli; Caryophanales; Staphylococcaceae. The record is from RNAcentral.